AUCCCAUGAUGAGGGCACUUACGAAGUAAUUCUUUAAAUCUCUCCCAUGCCUCAUACAAAGAUUCGUCAUCCAAUUGUUGACAAGUGGUUAUUUCAUUUUGCAACU
Molecule: non-coding RNA, 106 nt
Organism: Gossypium raimondii (Peruvian cotton)
Lineage: Eukaryota; Viridiplantae; Streptophyta; Magnoliopsida; Malvales; Malvaceae
Source: Rfam